This 253-nucleotide ribosomal RNA is filed under the name uncultured bacterium. RNAcentral's name for it is "partial 16S ribosomal RNA". It matches the Rfam family "Bacterial small subunit ribosomal RNA", at positions 524 to 776 of the family's 1533-position model. The record is from RNAcentral.
UACGUAGGGAGCUAGCGUUGUUCGGAAUUACUGGGCGUAAAGCGCACGUAGGCGGCUUUGUAAGUUAGAGGUGAAAGCCUGGUGCUCAACAUCAGAACUGCCUUUAAAACUGCAUCGCUUGAAUCCAGGAGAGGUGAGUGGAAUUCCGAGUGUAGAGGUGAAAUUCGUAGAUAUUCGGAAGAACACCAGUGGCGAAGGCGGCUCACUGGACUGGUAUUGACGCUGAGGUGCGAAAGCGUGGGGAGCAAACAGG